RNAcentral lists this ribosomal RNA (253 nucleotides) under uncultured bacterium. Its description in RNAcentral is "partial 16S ribosomal RNA". It matches the Rfam family "Bacterial small subunit ribosomal RNA", at positions 524 to 776 of the family's 1533-position model. The record is from RNAcentral.
UACGGGGGGUGCGAGCGUUGUCCGGAAUCACUGGGCGUAAAGGGCGCGUAGGCGGCAUGACAAGUCACUUGUGAAAUCUCCGGGCUUAACUCGGAACGGCCAAGUGAUACUGUCACGCUAGAGUGCAGAAGGGGCAAUCGGAAUUCUUGGUGUAGCGGUGAAAUGCGUAGAUAUCGAGAGGAACACCUGCGGCGAAGGCGGGUUGCUGGGCUGACACUGACGCUGAGGCGCGAAAGCUAGGGGAGCGAACGGG